CCGGCAGGAGUCCCAGUAGGAAGAGAGGAGGUGAGGGCCUCUGGGGAGGGGGCAGGGGGGCUUUGACAGGUGGGAAGAGGAAAGGAGUGUGAA
This 93-nucleotide long non-coding RNA is filed under the name Ictidomys tridecemlineatus (thirteen-lined ground squirrel). Its description in RNAcentral is "lncRNA (ENSSTOG00000031523.1)". The record is from RNAcentral. Lineage: Eukaryota; Metazoa; Chordata; Mammalia; Rodentia; Sciuridae.